RNAcentral lists this non-coding RNA (37 nucleotides) under Geobacter sulfurreducens PCA. The record is from RNAcentral. Lineage: Bacteria; Pseudomonadati; Thermodesulfobacteriota; Desulfuromonadia; Geobacterales; Geobacteraceae.
GACGUCGACACCUGGCGCGCCGCCGGCAUGGUGGCCG